UCUUGCACACACACAUGAUUCAUCUAUAUUUGAUAAAGUCAAAUAUUUUGACUAUCUCAUCAAAAAUAGAAGUACCUACUCCUCAAUGUUUGCUUGAAUCCAUAAAUGCAUUUGCCCUCCCAUUAGAGACAAACUCUCUAGAUGGUGUGUGGAAAUAGCAAAAAUCCGAAUAGACAUUCCUAAUAGCAACCUGUUGGAUCAUACCCAUAGGUGCUUCAACCGUAAUUCAUAUUUGGUUGAUGUACCGGGAGUUCAUUUCGGAUAUCAUGAUUUCAAGCCAUCUGUCAGAGUCUCUACUC
This 299-nucleotide long non-coding RNA is filed under the name Elaeis guineensis (African oil palm). RNAcentral describes it as "long non-coding RNA (EGUI_LNC065921)". Lineage: Eukaryota; Viridiplantae; Streptophyta; Magnoliopsida; Arecales; Arecaceae. The record is from RNAcentral.